Long non-coding RNA from Amphibalanus amphitrite, 678 nucleotides. RefSeq lists it as uncharacterized. NCBI's taxonomy places the organism in Eukaryota, Metazoa, Arthropoda, Thecostraca, Balanomorpha, Balanidae. The transcript is spliced from 3 exons. The record is from RefSeq and is a predicted model, not a curated record.
AUCGAUAUCAUCGGUAUGAAAUCGGAACCUAGAGAAGCCAAACAGGUAUCAAAUGGAUAUCAAUCUCAUAAAUAUUCAUGUAAACUCAAAAAACUUCUUGCAUGGGCCUUGAAUGACGUCUACGACGAAGUUAUGACAAAAUAACGCGAACAUGUCACUAAGGUUGAUCAUUAGAUUUCGAAGAAGGCUUAUCGGUAAACUUUGGUCUCUCAAUCUCAUCACUAUUUUCUACCGCGGCAUAAGCGCCGCAGUCAAUCUUUCUUUUCGUCGAACUGGCUGUGGCGGUGUACCAUUUCUUUUGGAUUGAAGCUUUGGGCUGGUUCCUUCGCAUUUAAUUACGAAACAAUUUCUUAAAUCCAGAUAUGAGGUCCCUCGUGCGCUUGGCGGCUGGAGCGCGCCAGCUUUCCACGUCCGCUGCCAGACAGGGUGGCGUUGCCGAUUAUGGCGGUAUUCCCAUGGCGAACUGGCCGUUCAGUGUGAAGAACAGGUUUGCUCUCACCCUGGGAUUCGUCCUGUUCUGUGGCAGCGGCUUCUCAGUUCCGUUUGUCAUGGUUAGGCAUCAGCUGCUGAAGAAGUAAAAUAUGUCUGCGGGUAUGGUGGAGUGAUGAGUAAAAACACAUGCAGUGUAUAUAAUCGAACGCUGAGCGAUACGCCGAUCCAAUACAUGUCUCCAAACUA